Molecule: ribosomal RNA, 496 nt
Filed under: uncultured bacterium
Lineage: Bacteria
Description: partial 16S ribosomal RNA
Rfam family: Bacterial small subunit ribosomal RNA
Source: RNAcentral
GAUGAACGCUGGCGGCGUGCCUAAUACUUGCAAGUCGAGCGAACAGACGAGGAGCUUGCUCCUCUGACGUUAGCGGCGGACGGGUGAGUAACACGUGGAUAACCUACCUAUAAGACUGGGAUAACUUCGGGAAACCGGAGCUAAUACCGGAUAAUAUAUUGAACCGCAUGGUUCAAUAGUGAAAGACGGUUUUGCUGUCACUUAUAGAUGGAUCCGCGCCGCAUUAGCUAGUUGGUAAGGUAACGGCUUACCAAGGCAACGAUGCGUAGCCGACCUGAGAGGGUGUUCGGCCCCCCUGGACCUGAGACACGUUCCGGCCUCCUCCGGGAGGCAGCAGUAGGGAUUCUUCCGCAAUGGGCGAAAGCCUGACGGAGCAACGCCGCGGGAGUGAUGAAGGUCUUCGGUUCGUAAACUCUGUUAUUAGGGAAGAACAAAUGUGUAAGUAACUAUGCACGUCUUGACGGUACCUAAUCAGAAAGCCACGGCUAACUACGUG